Chrysemys picta bellii (western painted turtle) is the source of this 554-nucleotide non-coding RNA. NCBI's taxonomy places the organism in Eukaryota, Metazoa, Chordata, Testudines, Emydidae. The record is from RefSeq and is a predicted model, not a curated record.
UUAUCUGAAGAUCAUUUAGGUUAAUGAUGGAAGUUCAGUGUCACAACAAUUACUAUGGAAUAUUGCUCCAUGGUUCCAGAUGUUUUCUAAAAAUGUUAUAACUUUGUCGCUGGACUUAGGUCAUAUUUAUUGCCAUCCAGAGGUUACCUUCUAAAAAAGAAGAGUAGAGACUGUACUGUUUCUUGCCACUAUGUCACUGAAGUAAAAAGCAUGUGGCACACCUAAUGUUUAUCUCCUUUAUAUAUCACAGUGAUAUAUCAACCAGGUUGUUGUCUGCAACAAGUGAUCUGUGAUGUGGUAAAGAUAACAGCAGUUAGCAGACCAUAGAUCCCACUUGUCUCUUCACGGAGUUCCUACAUUUAUAAGGGAUAUCGGACUUGAGAUAUUUGAUGUGAUUCUUAUAGACCCAGGGCCUGGAUGCAUGUGAUUAGGUAAGAAUCUCAGUUUUCAUUUGUUUAAAAAAGUAAUUUCUAGCCUUUGUGGUUCCAUAGAAAAGCUUGAAAACAUGCCCCGGAUACACCCAAAAGGCACAGAAACUGGGAAACAAAUAAAAC